Molecule: transfer RNA, 74 nt
Filed under: Bacteroidota bacterium
Lineage: Bacteria; Pseudomonadati; Bacteroidota
Also listed under: 2 other names
Description: Bacteroidetes bacterium (chicken gut metagenome) tRNA-Asn
Rfam family: tRNA
About the family: Transfer RNA (tRNA) molecules are approximately 80 nucleotides in length. Their secondary structure includes four short double-helical elements and three loops (D, anti-codon, and T loops). Further hydrogen bonds mediate the characteristic L-shaped molecular structure. tRNAs have two regions of fundamental functional importance: the anti-codon, which is responsible for specific mRNA codon recognition, and the 3' end, to which the tRNAs corresponding amino acid is attached (by aminoacyl-tRNA synthetases). tRNAs cope with the degeneracy of the genetic code in two manners: having more than one tRNA (with a specific anti-codon) for a particular amino acid; and 'wobble' base-pairing, i.e. permitting non-standard base-pairing at the 3rd anti-codon position.
Source: RNAcentral
GCUUCAGUAGCUCAGUUGGUUAGAGCACAUGACUGUUAAUCAUGGGGUCGCUGGUUCAAGCCCAGCCUGAAGCG